This 458-nucleotide ribosomal RNA is filed under the name uncultured bacterium. RNAcentral describes it as "partial 16S ribosomal RNA". It matches the Rfam family "Bacterial small subunit ribosomal RNA", at positions 355 to 805 of the family's 1533-position model. The record is from RNAcentral.
UAGGGAAUCUUCCACAAUGGACGCAAGUCUGAUGGAGCAACGCCGCGUGAGUGAAGAAGGUCUUCGGAUCGUAAAGCUCUGUUGUUGGUGAAGAAGGAUAGAGGCAGUAACUGGUCUUUAUUUGACGGUAAUCAACCAGAAAGUCACGGCUAACUACGUGCCAGCAGCCGCGGUAAUACGUAGGUGGCAAGCGUUGUCCGGAUUUAUUGGGCGUAAAGCGAGCGCAGGCGGAAUGAUAAGUCUGAUGUGAAAGCCCACGGCUCAACCGUGGAACUGCAUCGGAAACUGUCAUUCUUGAGUGCAGAAGAGGAGAGUGGAACUCCAUGUGUAGCGGUGGAAUGCGUAGAUAUAUGGAAGAACACCAGUGGCGAAGGCGGCUCUCUGGUCUGCAACUGACGCUGAGGCUCGAAAGCAUGGGUAGCGAACAGGAUUAGAUACCCUGGUAGUCCAUGCCGUAA